GCCGGAGCGGCGGGAGCGGCCCCGGGCCCGGGCGGAGGUGGGAGCGGAGCGGAGCGGAGCGGGGCAUCGCAUCUCCUCGGUCUGCGGCCGCGCUGUACUGCUCCCAUGCUCUGAUACAGCCCCGCCAGCCGCCCCCCUAUGGUCCUGC
Taeniopygia guttata (zebra finch) is the source of this 148-nucleotide non-coding RNA. The record is from RefSeq. NCBI's taxonomy places the organism in Eukaryota, Metazoa, Chordata, Aves, Passeriformes, Estrildidae.